GACGAACGCUGGCGGCGUGCUUAACACAUGCAAGUCGAGCGGUAAGGCCCUUUCGGGGGUACACGAGCGGCGAACGGGUGAGUAACACGUGGGUGACCUGCCCUCAGCUCUGGGAUAAGCCUGGGAAACCGGUCUAUACUGGAUAUGACUCCAUGACGCAUGUUGUGGGGUGGAAAGCCUUGUGCGGCUGAGGAUGGGCCCGCGGCCUAAUCAGCUUGUUGGUGGGGUGANGGCCUACCAAGGCGACGACGGGUAGCCGGCCUGAGAGGGCGACCGGCCACACUGGGACUGAGACACGGCCCAGACUCCUACGGGAGGCAGCAGUGGGGAAUCUUGCGCAA
This 341-nucleotide ribosomal RNA is filed under the name uncultured bacterium. RNAcentral's name for it is "bacterial SSU rRNA". It matches the Rfam family "Bacterial small subunit ribosomal RNA", at positions 28 to 371 of the family's 1533-position model. The record is from RNAcentral.